This 309-nucleotide unclassified non-coding RNA is filed under the name uncultured soil eukaryote. RNAcentral's name for it is "sequence contains 5.8S rRNA gene, ITS2, 28S rRNA gene". The record is from RNAcentral.
AACGCAAGUUGCGCCCGAAGCCUCCAGGCCGAGGGCACGCCUGCCUGGGUGUCACACAUCGUUGCCCCAGCGCCAUUCCCCUGUGCUGGGUUUGGGGCGGGGCGAAUGCUGGCUUCCCGUGAGCCCUGCCUUGCGGUUGGCUGAAAACCGAGCCCGUGGUGGAGAGCACCACGAUUCCUGGUGGCUGAGCGAAAUCUCGAGACCGAUCGUGCGUGUCUCUCCGUCGACGAAGGGCUCCACGGCCCAUGGGCGUCAUCCGGUCGCCCACAACGGGACCUCAGGUCAGGCGGGGCUACCCGCUGAGUUUAA